UGCCAGCCGCCGCGGUAAUACGUGUGGGGCAAGCGUUGUUCGGAAUUACUGGGCUUAAAGGGUUCGUAGGCGGCCACUUAAGUCAGGGGUGAAAUCCCACGGCCCAACCGUGGAACGGCCUCUGAUACUGAGUGGCUUGAGUGUGCUAGGGGUAAGCGGAACGUGUAGUGUAGCGGUGAAAUGCGUAGAUAUUACACGGAAGGCCGGAGGCGAAGGCGGCUUUCUGGACCGAUACUGACGCUGAGACGCGAAAGCGUGGGGAGCAAACAGGAUUAGAUA
Molecule: ribosomal RNA, 279 nt
Filed under: uncultured bacterium
Lineage: Bacteria
Description: partial 16S ribosomal RNA
Rfam family: Bacterial small subunit ribosomal RNA
Source: RNAcentral